Molecule: long non-coding RNA, 1184 nt
Filed under: Phocoena sinus (vaquita)
Lineage: Eukaryota; Metazoa; Chordata; Mammalia; Artiodactyla; Phocoenidae
Description: lncRNA (ENSPSNG00000005503.1)
Source: RNAcentral
GUGGAGGGAAAAUCUGGGGAACUGAAGCUGUAGGAUGUACCCGCAGAUAGAAGGGCCAGGGUCUGUCGUUUCCAUUUAGGACACAAAUAUUGAGCACCUACUACAGUCAUUUGUUCCAGACUCAAACAGUACAGCAGUGAAUGAGCCAAAGUUCCUGCCCCCUGGAGUUAGCAGUCUAGGAUAGAAAACCGGCAAUAAACAAACACAUACAUAAUAUUUUUUUAAUCUUCCCAACAACCCUAAGAGGUAGUGUUAUUAUUUCCAUAUUACAGAUGAAGAAAUUGAGUCUAGGCACAAAUCAGAGUCCACCCCAGACUGUUAUCUUAAGAGCAGGACUGUGUGACUUUGCGUAAGGCAAGUUAGAAUGUCUCUCAGCCCCGUUUUCUUCAUCUGUAAAAUGGGGAUAAGAAUGAUAACACAGCAGCAUCCCACUAAGCUUGUGGGAACAGCUGGCCUAGGCACUGAACAGGACAGAACAACUCUGAAUGUUCUUUGACUAUGCAGCUGUUGUUGUUAUUGUUGUUGCUGUUAUUAUAUGCCCUGCGGGGACCAAACCCCUAACCCCAAAUUGUGGUGACUGACCCUGGGGCAGCUGCCUGUGGAAACAAGCUGAGACGCGCAGCACCAGGCCCAGCCCUGAAAUGACUGCUUCCUGGGCGGCCCUACCUCGAUGUCAGUCGGCAACUAUGAAUUGAGCACCAAGCACUCGGUGUGGGGGGGAAAGACCAACCGCAGCUGCCAUCCAGUUAGGGAGAAGGAGACAGACAGACAAACAUCCUUAUAAUUACAGAGGUGUGCUGACAGGAGGAUCGGGUACCAGGUUGACCACUGGGUCUUGGACCAAGUUUUUUCCCAGCCCUGGAGACAGAAUCCAUUUCACUGUCUCCCUGCAGAAACACUUGUGUUUAUUUUUAUUACGGUAUACUGUUUGCCAAUAAAAGCAACAAUCAAUACCAGCCGGAAGGAGACUAUACAGAGAGGAACAAUAAUAUAGUGUUUUAGGAGGAGGCCUGGUGGCAGAGACCUGAUUCAACUAAGCCCUGUUAGCAGGGGUAGAGGAUACUGUGUGCUAGGCCAGCCUGAAGCGACCCCUUGCAGAUGCCUCACUUCAUAUUCCAUAGUGAGUGUCCAGCCUGCCAGUUUUCCAGAAAACAGGAGACUCAGAUGGGCACUGGCCAGCACAG